AAACAAGAGGAGGCACCCCCUGAGAAUCUGGAUGUUACACCUGAGGAAGAGGAAGCAGAUGCAGGAGCACCUGAGCUUCCAGGGACUGACCUGGAAGCUGAUACCCAAGAAAUGGUGAUACUAAUGACUAAGGGUGAACGUGGAGAUAAUCCUGAAGUCAUUGGGCAACCUUAUGCAAAUCCAGAGCCCAUUGGAAUGCUGGAAGCAGGAGAAGGGAAACCACCCGUUUAAGGGAAGAUGAUCUGAAGACACACAGAUUAUUCUUUUUUUUUUUUUUCACACAGAUUAUUCUUAAGUUGGAUACUAUAGUGUUAAAUAAAGUUCUCUCAAUAAAGUUUUGCAGCAUUUUCCAAGGAAUCUUGCAAAUCUUUCG
This is a long non-coding RNA of Eptesicus fuscus (big brown bat), 373 nucleotides long. RefSeq lists it as uncharacterized. The record is from RefSeq and is a predicted model, not a curated record. The transcript is spliced from 3 exons. NCBI's taxonomy places the organism in Eukaryota, Metazoa, Chordata, Mammalia, Chiroptera, Vespertilionidae.